AGAGUUUGAUCCUGGCUCAGGAUGAACGCCGGCGGUGUGCCUAAUACAUGCAAGUCGUACGCACUGGCCCAACUGAUUGAUGGUGCUUGCACCUGAUUGACGUUGGAUCACCAGUGAGUGGCGGACGGGUGAGUAACACGUAGGUAACCUGCCCCGGAGCGGGGGAUAACAUUUGGAAACAGAUGCUAAUACCGCAUAACAACAAAAGCCACAUGGCUUUUGUUUGAAAGAUGGCUUUGGCUAUCACUCUGGGAUGGACCUGCGGUGCAUUAGCUAGUUGGUAAGGUAACGGCUUACCAAGGCGAUGUUGCAUAGCCGAGUUGAGAGACUGAUCGGCCACAAUGGAACUGAGACACGGUCCAUACUCCUACGGGAGGCAGCAGUAGGGAAUCUUCCACAAUGGGCGCAAGCCUGAUGGAGCAACACCGCGUGAGUGAAGAAGGGUUUCGGCUCGUAAAGCUCUGUUGUUGGAGAAGAACGUGCGUGAGAGUAACUGUUCACGCAGUGACGGUAUCCAACCAGAAAGUCACGGCUAACUACGUGCCAGCAGCCGCGGUAAUACGUAGGUGGCAAGCGUUAUCCGGAUUUAUUGGGCGUAAAGCGAGCGCAGGCGGUUGCUUAGGUCUGAUGUGAAAGCCUUCGGCUUAACCGAAGAAGUGCAUCGGAAACCGGGCGACUUGAGUGCAGAAGAGGACAGUGGAACUCCAUGUGUAGCGGUGGAAUGCGUAGAUAUAUGGAAGAACACCAGUGGCGAAGGCGGCUGUCUGGUCUGCAACUGACGCUGAGGCUCGAAAGCAUGGGUAGCGAACAGGAUUAGAUACCCUGGUAGUCCAUGCCGUAAACGAUGAGUGCUAGGUGUUGGAGGGUUUCCGCCCUUCAGUGCCGGAGCUAACGCAUUAAGCACUCCGCCUGGGGAGUACGACCGCAAGGUUGAAACUCAAAGGAAUUGACGGGGGCCCGCACAAGCGGUGGAGCAUGUGGUUUAAUUCGAAGCUACGCGAAGAACCUUACCAGGUCUUGACAUCUUGCGCUAACCUUAGAGAUAAGGCGUUCCCUUCGGGGACGCAAUGACAGGUGGUGCAUGGUCGUCGUCAGCUCGUGUCGUGAGAUGUUGGGUUAAGUCCCGCAACGAGCGCAACCCUUGUUACUAGUUGCCAGCAUUAAGUUGGGCACUCUAGUGAGACUGCCGGUGACAAACCGGAGGAAGGUGGGGACGACGUCAGAUCAUCAUGCCCCUUAUGACCUGGGCUACACACGUGCUACAAUGGACGGUACAACGAGUCGCAAGCUCGCGAGAGUAAGCUAAUCUCUUAAAGCCGUUCUCAGUUCGGACUGUAGGCUGCAACUCGCCUACACGAAGUCGGGAUCGCUAGUAAUCGCGGAUCAGCAUGCCGCGGUGAAUACGUUCCCGGGCCUUGUACACACCGCCCGUCA
Molecule: ribosomal RNA, 1434 nt
Filed under: uncultured bacterium
Lineage: Bacteria
Description: bacterial SSU rRNA
Rfam family: Bacterial small subunit ribosomal RNA
Source: RNAcentral